RNAcentral lists this long non-coding RNA (4116 nucleotides) under Danio rerio (zebrafish). RNAcentral describes it as "lncRNA (ENSDARG00000117218.1)". Lineage: Eukaryota; Metazoa; Chordata; Actinopteri; Cypriniformes; Danionidae. The record is from RNAcentral.
AUGGCUUUAAAAUCGCCAGGUUUACUCGCUUUACAAACUCAACUAAUGGCUUUAAAAUCGCCAGGUUUACUCGCUUUUCAAACUCAACUAAUCGCUUUAAAAUCACCAGGUUUACUCGCUUUACAAACUCAACUAAUGGCUUUAAAAUCGCCAGGUUUACUCGCUUUUCAAACUCAACUAAUCUCUUUAAAAUCGCCAGGUUUACUUGCUUUACAAACUCAACUAAUCGCUUUAAAAUCGCCAGGUUUACUCGCUUUACAAACUCAACUAAUGGCUUUAAAAUCGCCAGGUUUACUCGCUUUACAAACUCAACUAAUCGAUUUAAAAGCGCCAGGUUUACUCGCUUUUCAAACUCAAUUAAUCGAUUUAAAAUCGCCAGGUUUACUCGCUUUACAAACUCAACUAAUCGCUUUAAAAUCGCCAGGUUUACUCGCUUUACAAACUCAACUAAUCUCUUUAAAAUCGCCAGGUUUACUCGCUUUACAAACUCAACUAAUCGAUUUAAAAGCGCCAGGUUUACUCGCUUUACAAACUCAACUAAUCGCUUUAAAAUCGCCAGGUUUACUCGCUUUACAAACUCAACUAAUCCCUUUAAAAUCGGCAGGUUUACUCGCUUUACAAACUCAACUAAUCUCUUUAAAAUCUCCAGGUUUACUUGCUUUACAAACUCAACUAAUCUCUUUAAAAUCGCCAGGUUUACUCGCUUUACAAACUCAACUAAUCGCUUUAAAAACGCCAGGUUUACUCGCUUUACAAACUCAACUAAUCUCUUUAAAAUCGCCAGGUUUACUCGCUUUACAAACUCAACUAAUCGCUUUAAAAACGCAAGGUUUACUCGCUUUACAAACUCAACUAAUCUCUUUAAAAUCGCCAGGUUUACUCGCUUUACAAACUCAACUAAUCUCUUUAAAAUCGCCAGGUUUACUCGCUUUACAAACUCAACUAAUCUCUUUAAAAUCGCCAGGUUUACUCGCUUUACAAACUCAACUAAUCGCUUUAAAAUCGCCAGGUUUACUCACUUUUCAAACUCAACUAAUCGCUUUAAAAUCGCCAGGUUUACUCGCUUUACAAACUCAACUAAUCGCUUUAAAAUCGCCAGGUUUACUCGCUUUACAAACUCAACUAAUCGCUUUAAAAUCGCCAGGUUUACUCGCUUUUCAAACUCAACUAAUCGCUUUAAAAUCGCCAGGUUUACUCGCUUUACAAACUCAACUAAUCGCUUUAAAAUCACCAGGUUUACUCGCUUUACAAACUCAACUAAUCGCUUUAAAAUCGCCAGGUUUACUCGCUUUACAAACUCAACUAAUCGCUUUAAAAUCGCCAGGUUUACUCGCUUUACAAACUCAACUAAUCCCUUUAAAAUCGGCAGGUUUACUCGCUUUACAAACUCAACUAAUCUCUUUAAAAUCUCCAGGUUUACUUGCUUUACAAACUCAACUAAUCUCUUUAAAAUCGCCAGGUUUACUCGCUUUACAAACUCAACUAAUCGCUUUAAAAUCACCAGGUUUACUCGCUUUACAAACUCAACUAAUCGCUUUAAAAACGCCAGGUUUACUCGCUUUACAAACUCAACUAAUCGCUUUAAAAUCACCAGGUUUACUCGCUUUACAAACUCAACUAAUCCCUUUAAAAUCGCCAGGUUUACUCGCUUUACAAACUCAACUAAUCGCUUUAAAAACACCAGGUUUACUCGCUUUACAAACUCAACUAAUCGCUUUAAAAACGCCAGGUUUACUCGCUUUACAAACUCAACUAAUCUCUUUAAAAUCUCCAGGUUUACUCGCUUUACAAACUCAACUAAUCGCUUUAAAAACGCAAGGUUUACUCGCUUUACAAACUCAACUAAUCUCUUUAAAAUCGCCAGGUUUACUCGCUUUACAAACUCAACUAAUCUCUUUAAAAUCGCCAGGUUUACUCGCUUUACAAACUCAACUAAUCUCUUUAAAAUCGCCAGGUUUACUCGCUUUACAAACUCAACUAAUCGCUUUAAAAUCGCCAGGUUUACUCGCUUUACAAACUCAACUAAUCGCUUUAAAAUCGCCAGGUUUACUCGCUUUACAAACUCAACUAAUCGCUUUAAAAUCACCAGGUUUACUCACUUUACAAACUCAAUUAAUCGCUUUAAAAGCACCAGGUUUACUCGCUUUACUAACUCAACUAAUCGCUUUAAAAUCGCCAGGUUUACUCACUAUUCAAACUCAACUAAUCGCUUUAAAAUCGGCAGGUUUACUCGCUUUACAAACUCAACUAAUCGCUUUAAAAUCGCCAGGUUUACUCGCUUUACAAACUCAACUAAUCGAUUUAAAAGCGCCAGGUUUACUCGCUUUACAAACUCAACUAAUCGCUUUAAAAAGCGCCAGGUUUACUCGCUUUACAAACUCAACUAAUCGCUUUAAAAUCGCCAGGUUUACUCGCUUUACAAACUCAACUAAUCGCUUUAAAAAUCGCCAGGUUUACUCGCUUUACAAACUCAACUAAUCUCUUUAAAAUCGCCAGGUUUACUCGCUUUACAAACUCAACUAAUCGCUUUAAAAUCGCCAGGUUUACUCGCUUUUCAAACUCAACUAAUCGCUUUAAAAUCGCCAGGUUUACUCGCUUUACAAACUCAACUAAUCGCUUUAAAAUCGCCAGGUUUACUCGCUUUACAAACUCAACUAAUCGCUUUAAAAUCGCCAGGUUUACUCGCUUUACAAACUCAACUAAUCGCUUUAAAAUCGCCAGGUUUACUCGCUUUUCAAACUCAACUAAUCGCUUUAAAAUCGCCAGGUUUACUCGCUUUUCAAACUCAACUAAUCUCUUUAAAAUCGCCAGGUUUACUUGCUUUACAAACUCAACUAAUCGCUUUAAAAUCGCCAGGUUUACUCGCUUUACAAACUCAACUAAUGGCUUUAAAAUCGCCAGGUUUACUCGCUUUACAAACUCAACUAAUCGCUUUAAAAUCGCCAGGUUUACUCGCUUUACAAACUCAACUAAUCGCUUUAAAAUCACCAGGUUUACUCGCUUUUCAAACUCAACUAAUCGCUUUAAAAACGCCAGGUUUAUUCACUUUUCAAACUCAACUAAUCGCUAUAAAAAAGCAAGGUUUACUCGCUUGCUUAAGUUAAUUCAACUAAUUGCAUUUAACAAAGUGAGUUAAUCUGUUUCUUUAAAAUCGUUGAGUUGACUCUACUUCAAAAAGUAAGUAACCCUAUUGCUUUAGAAGUGAUUAGUGGACUUUUAAAAACUGAAUAAAGCUGUUGCCUUUAAAUUAUUAAGUAAAGAAAAUAUGUGCAUAAUUACAAAAAUUAAGUACUUAACACUUAAUAGUUCCGAGUUACAAAGGGUUUACUCACUUUUUAAACUAUCACGUUUUACAGUGUACAGCAAACAGUGUACAGUAAAGUCCCUCGUAGCUUCAUAUGUUCAGCAUCAUUAUUAUCAUUACUGAAAAGAGUUUCAUAUUUUUAAGAAAAUGUAUCUAUAUUUUAACAGUAAUUUCUAUUAAAUAUGUUGUCCUUCUCAACUGCAGGCACUCUAAAUAAACAUAUUAAUUUCUUCCACAUGAAGCAGUAAACCUGUUAAUGGCCGUAUGAGCAGAAGAGAAUCAGGUCAGACUGUUCAGAUGGAUUUGAUCCAUAUAUAUUGUUUGUGCUUAAUCAAAAGCUGAUGACAUGAAUGAAAGGCAUAUUGGUUUGAUUUUAGAAAAGGAACAUUUUAUUUUGUCCUCUUACGUUCAGCUUCAGAUGUUCUCUAGUCUGCCAAACACAUCAGAGCCUGAAUGACAAACAGACGCCGGUGUCACGCAGACGCAUCUCUGCUCUUCCUCUUCCUCGUCUUCUUCUUCUUUAGUUUAGUGUUUGCCGAACAGACGGCAUUAUUUCUGCUUCACAGUCCAGCAGCAGAUUCUUCAGCUGCUCAGCAGAUAAACAGACCGUCUGGAAGAGGAAAACACCAUUUCAACAACACAUUUUUCACUAUAAUCAUUCUUUAAAAAUGUCUUUUCCAUGAUGACAGCACAUAAUGUUUGACUAGAUAUUUUGUAAGAUACUAGUAAUCAGCCUAAAGUGUCAUUUAAAGACUGAACUAGGUUAAUUUUAUGGUCAAUAUUAUUAGCCCCCUUAAGAAUUUCUUUUUUCU